RNAcentral lists this ribosomal RNA (253 nucleotides) under uncultured bacterium. RNAcentral describes it as "partial 16S ribosomal RNA". It matches the Rfam family "Bacterial small subunit ribosomal RNA", at positions 524 to 776 of the family's 1533-position model. The record is from RNAcentral.
UACGUAGGGAGCAAGCGUUGUCCGGAAUCAUUGGGCGUAAAGAGCGCGUAGGCGGAAACGCCAGUCCGGCUUGAAAGCCCCCGGCUCAACCGGGGAGAGUGGCUGGAAACUGCGUUUCUUGAGGGCGAGAGAGGAGGGUGGAAUUCCUGGUGUAGCGGUGAAAUGCGUAGAGAUCAGGAGGAACACCCGUGGCGAAGGCGGCCCUCUGGCUCGACCCUGACGCUGAGGCGCGAAAGCGUGGGGAGCGAACGGG